Molecule: ribosomal RNA, 368 nt
Filed under: uncultured alga
Lineage: Eukaryota
Description: partial 23S ribosomal RNA
Rfam family: Bacterial large subunit ribosomal RNA
Source: RNAcentral
GCUUGACUGUAGCUUGUAAUUGGGUUCGGGCUUUUUUUGCGCAGCCUAGGUGGGAGGCAAUGAUGAUUUUUUUCCGGAAAAAUUUGAGCCAUUCGUGAGAGACCACUCUGAAAAGGCUAGAAUCCUAAUAAUGAUCCUUGAAUCAGGACAUUUGACAGUUGCAGGUGGGCAGUUUUACUGGGGCGGUAUUCUCCUAAAAAGUAACGGAGGGGUGCAAAGGUUCCCUCAGCUGGACGGAAAUCAGCUUAAGAGUGUAAAGGCAAAAGGGAGCUUGACUGCAAGACCUACAAGUCGAGCAGGGGCGAAAGCCGGCCUUAGUGAUCCGACGGUACCACGUGGAAGGGCCGUCGCUCAACGGAUAAAAGUUA